UGAGGAAUAUUGGGCAAUGGGGGCAACCCUGACCCAGCCAUGCCGCGUGAGUGAAGAAGGUCUUCGGAUUGUAAAGCUCUUUCGGACGUGACGAUGAUGACGGUAGCGUCUAAAGAAGCACCGGCAAACUUCGUGCCAGCAGCCGCGGUAAUACGAAGGGUGCGAGCGUUGUUCGGAAUUACUGGGCGUAAAGGGAGUGUAGGCGGAUAUGUAAGAUAGCGGUGAAAUGCCGGGGCUCAACCCCGGAACUGCCAUUAUGACUAUGUAUCUGGAGUAAUGGAGAGGAUAGCGGAAUACCCAGUGUAGAGGUGAAAUUCGUAGAUAUUGGGUAGAACACCGGUGGCGAAGGCGGCUAUCUGGCCAUUUACUGACGCUGAGGCUCGAAAGCAUGGGGAUCAAACAGG
RNAcentral lists this ribosomal RNA (404 nucleotides) under uncultured bacterium. Its description in RNAcentral is "bacterial SSU rRNA". It matches the Rfam family "Bacterial small subunit ribosomal RNA", at positions 355 to 776 of the family's 1533-position model. The record is from RNAcentral.